CCACAAGGCGACAGGCUUCAGGCUUGAGAUAUACCUCGCCACAGGCUACGGCUACGCUUCUGCCAGCAGCGUGGAUAAGGAAGAACGGUUCACAAAGUCCCCGGAUUAUUAUGACUGUGUGCAUAAGAAAGAACGGUUUAUCUUCACUGCAGCGGGUGCGGCACAUCUGUCGUGCUCCGGUAAGCAGGCGCCAGGAGUGCGCGCAUGGAAUGGGAGGGCUCAAGGGCAAGACUUCGAGAGCACCAUUCUUUGUUAAUCGGGAAGAACAAGCUGGGCUGACCAUUAAUCUGGCAGAGCAGCAGUAAGCGAAAUGUGUAACUACUGAUCUCAACAGUCUGAGAUGUACUAAUACUACUGAAUAAACAAAAUACUAACCAUGGCGACAAUUCAAGUCUGAGCGACGUCACAGGGCGUCAGGCUUCAGAUAUACGUACCACCUAGCCUAGCCAAUGUGUCUGCUUCCUCUUCUUUAGCAUGGCUCCAGCCAGCAUAUAACUGCAUAACCACUACCCCGCGGACCUGUUGCGCAAGUCAAUUCAGGAGCCUCUCCUUGGCAGCCAAUUCUGGAACGUUUUCAACUCGGUUAACCUGAUAACAACAUGGAGGGUGGAGCCAGCUAGUGUAUUAGCCCCUGAGUUCCCACUGGAUCGUAUAAAUGAUACGAUAAUACAAUUUUAUCCCUCCCCUGUAAAAAGUAGAUUUGUUCAGCACUAAAAGACCACAGUACCGAUGAUUUGUCAGAAAAGUCCCAACCAAAACUAAUGAAUCAGCAAAAACAAAAUAUGGUUGCUCUCAAGUUCUCUAGUUUUUUGUUAGUGAAGAGCAUAAAAAACGCAAUAAUUGUAACAUUUUCCAGGAUGACGGUAAUGCUUUAUUGUCCCAGUGAGAAACUGAGCAUGACCAGUAAAUCCAAGAGUAAGCAUGCAACUGGUUACUUCAAAAUGUUAUUUCUUGCACUUCACUGGGGGCUUAAUUAUUACUCCCUCUGUUGUACAGAAAUAAAUAUAAGAGCAUUUAGCUCACGCUCUUAUAUUUCUUUACGGAGGGGGUACUCGUACCUCACAUCAUUGAACUCUGUGCAGUAUUUAGGUACACCCGCUGCCAGAGACGCCAAGUAGGUGUGUAUAUCAGUCCUUGCAUACCUCUGUGAGCAUGGCGUCAUAGAUCCGGUACCUUUCAGCGCCCUCAACAUUCCAGCAGCAUCUAAGCCUUCUCCAAUUACUCACAG
Molecule: long non-coding RNA, 1228 nt
Filed under: Triticum aestivum (bread wheat)
Lineage: Eukaryota; Viridiplantae; Streptophyta; Magnoliopsida; Poales; Poaceae
Description: long non-coding RNA (TAES_LNC006214)
Source: RNAcentral